GACGAACGCUGGCGGCGUGCCUAAUACAUGCAAGUAGAACGCACAGUUUAUACCGUAGCUUGCUACACCAUAAACUGUGAGUUGCGAACGGGUGAGUAACGCGUAGGUAACCUGCCUGGUAGCGGGGGAUAACUAUUGGAAACGAUAGCUAAUACCGCAUAAUAUUAAUUAUUGCAUGAUAAUUGAUUGAAAGAUGCAAUUGCAUCACUACCAGAUGGACCUGCGUUGUAUUAGCUAGUAGGUGAGGUAACGGCUCACCUAGGCGACGAUACAUAGCCGACCUGGGAGGGUGAUCGGCCACACUGGGACUGAGACACGGCCCAGACUCCUACGGGAGGCAGCAGUAGGGAAUCUUCGGCAAUGGACGAAAGUCUGACCGAGCAACGCCGCGUGAGUGAAGAAGGUUUUCGGAUCGUAAAGCUCUGUUGUAAGAGAAGAACGGGUGUGAGAGUGGAAAGUUCACACUGUGACGGUAUCUUACCAGAAAGGGACGGCUAACUACGUG
This 505-nucleotide ribosomal RNA is filed under the name uncultured bacterium. Its description in RNAcentral is "partial 16S ribosomal RNA". It matches the Rfam family "Bacterial small subunit ribosomal RNA", at positions 28 to 507 of the family's 1533-position model. The record is from RNAcentral.